UGGAUCCAGACUUUGAUCAUGGCUCAGGAUGAACGCUAGCUACAGGCUUAACACAUGCAAGUCGAGGGGCAGCAUGGUCUUAGCUUGCUAAGACUGAUGGCGACCGGCGCACGGGUGAGUAACACGUAUCCAACCUGCCGUCUACUCUUGGACAGCCUUCUGAAAGGAAGAUUAAUACAAGAUGGCAUCAUGAGUCCGCAUGUUCACAUGAUUAAAGGUAUUCCGGUAGACGAUGGGGAUGCGUUCCAUUAGAUAGUAGGCGGGGUAACGGCCCACCUAGUCUUCGAUGGAUAGGGGUUCUGAGAGGAAGGUCCCCCACAUUGGAACUGAGACACGGUCCAAACUCCUACGGGAGGCAGCAGUGAGGAAUAUUGGUCAAUGGGCGAGAGCCUGAACCAGCCAAGUAGCGUGAAGGAUGACUGCCCUAUGGGUUGUAAACUUCUUUUAUAAAGGAAUAAAGUCGGGUAUGCAUACCCGUUUGCACGUACUUUAUGAAUAAGGAUCGGCUAACUCCGUGCCAGCAGCCGCGGUAAUACGGAGGAUCCGAGCGUUAUCCGGAUUUAUUGGGUUUAAAGGGAGCGUAGAUGGAUGUUUAAGUCAGUUGUGAAAGUUUGCGGCUCAACCGUAAAAUUGCAGUUGAUACUGGAUAUCUUGAGUGCAGUUGAGGCAGGCGGAAUCCGUGGUGUAGCGGUGAAAUGCUUAGAUAUCACGAAGAACUCCGAUUGCGAAGGCAGCCUGCUAAGCUGCAACUGACAUUGAGGCUCGAAA
This 768-nucleotide ribosomal RNA is filed under the name uncultured Bacteroidota bacterium. RNAcentral describes it as "bacterial SSU rRNA". It matches the Rfam family "Bacterial small subunit ribosomal RNA", at positions 1 to 758 of the family's 1533-position model. Lineage: Bacteria; Pseudomonadati; Bacteroidota. The record is from RNAcentral.